Molecule: long non-coding RNA, 367 nt
Organism: Tripterygium wilfordii
Lineage: Eukaryota; Viridiplantae; Streptophyta; Magnoliopsida; Celastrales; Celastraceae
Exons: 3
Source: RefSeq, a predicted model, not a curated record
AUACUAGAGAAAUCGUCUUCAAUUUUCUGGUUCUAGAGACUGGAGUUCGUUCAAUUUUUAUUGACUAUGCAGGGUUUCUCGGUCCUUCCGUUUUGUACUGUUGGCUCCUCUGCAAAGAUUGGCAAUGGCUGCUGCGGUGCUGUGGUUGAUGAUGAUCUUCCUGGGAGUACUGCUAUAGGAUGCAAUAAUGUUAUUGGUCGUCAUUUCUGUGGUUGGUGUGAAAUCAUAAAUGUCAAGAUUUGAAAUACAAGUAUCCAUAUGCUCCACUUGAUUCUCCAGCUGUUAAAUGGCUAAAACUUGCUUAUCUUGACACCAUUUGGGGCAGAUUAUCCUCUUCACCGCCAUUUUGUGUACUUCAACCAUCAAC